Molecule: ribosomal RNA, 504 nt
Filed under: uncultured bacterium
Lineage: Bacteria
Description: partial 16S ribosomal RNA
Rfam family: Bacterial small subunit ribosomal RNA
Source: RNAcentral
AUUGAACGCUGGCGGCAGGCCUAACACAUGCAAGUCGAACGGUAGCACAGAGAGCUUGCUCUCGGGUGACGAGUGGCGGACGGGUGAGUAAUGUCUGGGAAACUGCCUGAUGGAGGGGGAUAACUACUGGAAACGGUAGCUAAUACCGCAUAAUGUCGCAAGACCAAAGAGGGGGACCUUCCGGCCUCUUGCCAUCGGAUGUGCCCAGAUGGGAUUAGCUUGUUGGUGAGGUAAAGGCUUACCAAGGCGACGAUCCCUAGCUGGUCUGAGAGGAUGACCAGCCACACUGGAACUGAGAAACGGUCCAGACUCCUACGGGAGGCAGCAGUGGGGAAUAUUGCACAAUGGGCGCAAGCCUGAUGCAGCCAUGCCGCGUGUGUGAAGAAGGCCUUCGGGUUGUAAAGCACUUUCAGCGGGGAGGAAGGCGGUGAGUUUAAUAAGCUCACCGAUUGACGUUACCCGCAGAAGAAGCACCGGCUAACUCCGUGCCAGCCGCCGCCGUAA